This 300-nucleotide ribosomal RNA is filed under the name Triticum aestivum (bread wheat). Its description in RNAcentral is "partial small subunit ribosomal RNA". Lineage: Eukaryota; Viridiplantae; Streptophyta; Magnoliopsida; Poales; Poaceae. The record is from RNAcentral.
AUGACCGGCUUGCUCGGGAAGUUGGUUGAGGGAUGGACGUCCCUCAGUGGCUCUGACAACGACGCGGUUGCGAGGCAGUUCACUUCAUUUGUCCCAGAACGUACAUAUCGGCCAACUGGUUGCCGUGGCCGGCAUGACUACAACAGUUCCCAAGAGCCUGAUGACACACAAGAUGAACUCGAUGGAGACGCUGGUCUCAGCAAGGAUGACGACGAUGACAUGGAGAAUGUGCAACAGGACAUCGAUGAUGAUGAACAUGCUGAAGUUGUGCAGGUGGUAACAAGGGCAAGGAUGCAAUAG